CAGUCGCCGCGGUAAUACGAAGGGGGCUAGCGUUGCUCGGAAUUACUGGGCGUAAAGGGCGCGUAGGCGGACAGCUUAGUCAGAGGUGAAAGCCCAGGGCUCAGCCUUGGAACUGCCUUUGAUACUGGCUGUCUUGAGUUCGGGAGAGGUGAGUGGAAUGCCGAGUGUAGAGGUGAAAUUCGUAGAUAUUCGGCGGAACACCAGUGGCGAAGGCGGCUUACUGGCUCGAAACUGACGCUGAGGCGCGAAAGCGUGGGGAGCAAACAGGAUUAGAUACCCCGGUAGUCCCUGUCUCUUAUAC
This 301-nucleotide ribosomal RNA is filed under the name uncultured bacterium. RNAcentral describes it as "partial 16S ribosomal RNA". It matches the Rfam family "Bacterial small subunit ribosomal RNA", at positions 509 to 807 of the family's 1533-position model. The record is from RNAcentral.